Long non-coding RNA from Acyrthosiphon pisum (pea aphid), 7975 nucleotides. RefSeq lists it as uncharacterized. The transcript is spliced from 20 exons. Lineage: Eukaryota; Metazoa; Arthropoda; Insecta; Hemiptera; Aphididae. The record is from RefSeq and is a predicted model, not a curated record.
ACAUAUUUUUAACAAAGUUUUAUUUUUUAGGUAUUACAAUUUUGCUGACCAAGAAUCCAAUUUUAAUAACGCGUCAACAUAUUUAAAUUGCAAAAUAACACAUAACUAGUUUGGACAUUGGUAUCUUUUCUGAAGGGAAAGUGCAUCUAGUUGGAUGCGUUAAACAGGUUGUCAAACCCGUUCCCAUUUGCAACGAGGAGAGACAAACUGCUUUGAAAAAUGAGUAUGCAAUUGCCAAAAAGCUUCAGUGGCUGCUAUUAAAAUUCUUCAACUAUCGACGGUGGACAUAAUUGUGGAAGACUUUUAAACUAGGUACAUUCUGAUAGGUACCUAUUUCCUCUAAUUUGUGUUCUUAUUUUACCCAUGUUUCCCCCCCACCACCCAUUAGAAAGUAAUUAGUUACUUUAUUUAAACAAAAAAAACUAUCAUAUACGCCGUGGAGUUAUGUUUGUGAAUAAAAUUAUUUUGUCAAUGACCAAUAUUUAAUAAAACUUUAUUUUUAAAUUUUAUAAUAAAUAAGAAAAGUAGGUGCCUAUUUAAAAUCAUUAUGGACUAUACCAUCAUACAUUCAUAUUUGUCGUAUCGAUAUUUUAUAUGUAUUUUAAAAUUUAGAAAUAUAUGACUAAUGUACCUAGUAAUGUGGUGUUGUAAAUUAUUGUUAUACCUGCAGCAGUUAUUUGUACAUACUGUGUGAGAAAAAAUCAAAUCAUGAUAUACUAUAAAAUUUAACUGUAGCCAUAUAAAACAAUUAAAAAUUUUGUUUUUCAUGUCUAUGGACUUAAAACUAAUUAACUUCAACCUUUUAACUCAAUUUUUUCUGUGUUUAUCAACUCGAUAAAUUUUAAUAUGAUUGGAGGGCGGAUUCGUAUGAUUUUACAUAUUUAUAUUGUGGUUGAUGGUAUGUUAUUAUGCUAAUAGUGGCCCCAGAAUUCGUUUCAAGACAAUUACGAUUUGAACUGUGAAUCUUUUCUGGUGCAUAAUACGAAAACUAACCAACUUUUUUCAUUUUAUCGACUUACUUAAGAUAUUUUUUUUUAUCGACAUAAAUUAUGAAAAAACUAAAAUAGUCAAAAAUGUCAUGUGUAUGUGAACACCUCGACACGGAUCUAAAAAUGUGGUAAAUGUUAUGGUUUUUAAAUUCUAAUAUAAACAAUCAGUGUAAAUUGCAUGUAUCUACAGUAAUUUAUUUCAGAGUAACACCACUACACGAAAAACCAAAACCUAUGCACGUUUUCCUAAAUUUCUUUUCUUGUUUUUCCAGGCCCAUUUGGAGACUAGGUAGGUGCUGUUCAUUUCGACAUCCCCUAUGCACCUCGUAUAUUCACUUUCCCAACGGAAAAUAUGAAAAGCGAAGCAUUAUUUCGACUACCUACUUAUCGUGUACACCGCCCCAAAUAAUAAUGUAUUACGCAGAACGUACAUUUGCUAAUAGUUUCAAUAUAGUUGGAUUCACUCUGAUUUUUAAACUGACGACGCUAAAUGUGAUGUGCUCAUCGUAAACAUUCUAUAUUAGACGGAGACGAUAAAAUGCCCGUGUUACGUCUUAAAUCGUGGAGCUGCAUCGUUCACGAAAUUUCAAAAAUUUAAUGCCCGCGAUUCUGUCUUAUCACUAUGUACGACGAAAUAGUAGGUAAUAAUCGUUAUCAAAUAAAUAAUAAUGUUAUUAUUUUUUCGUUUGCCGACUUUAAAUUUGAAUCACUCGCGAAUCGCAAUUAUUUGAAAUUUGAGUAAAAAAUACGGACUACAGAACAGUCGUACAGAGUUCUAUUCAUACAUUUUAAUACAAAAUCACCAUGGAUAAGUGUAUUGUUUUUAGUAAAACAUGCAAAGUAUCGCCUCGCCAUAUUACGUACAUUUUCAUUUAUUUCCAAAAAAUCAAUGAAAUAGAAAGAAAUAAUGGCUAAAAAUCUUCGAAUAAUUAAAUGAUUAUCCCCAUUUCUAUCAGUCAUAGUAUCUGUGGUAAUCAUUUCACAACUACUAGUGAUUGUAAACAAUGUUCUCAAAACAUAAUCCAAACCACUUGUCUGGGAGAGAGAAGUAAAAUAAAUUUUAUUAAUUUACGGCAACAUUGGUGUAGUACCUACUCUGCGCACGACUAGUAAAUCGCAUCUAAGAGAACAUUUUCUUUCUCCAACGAUGGGUUAGAAGUAAAUGAACAGACGAAUAAAGGAUUUGGAUAGGCCAUGAUUUUAAUUCACCCAUAAAAGCCUUAGAUACCCGGUAAUGUCCAAUUCACACACACUUAUUUCAUACAGUGGAUUAUACUUACUAUGGUUUUCAAAACUCAAAUUUAUGAUGUAAUCACAUACACGCAACUGGGAAGUGGAGCCAAUGUAUUGACAAAUUUUCAGACGUUGACUUCCUUGGAGAUAAUUCUACCCCACUCAGAUGAAGCCAUACAAUAUUGGAGAGAUAUUAUGAAACCUAAAGGUAUUACAAUUUUGCUGACCAAGAAUCCACUUUAAUAACGCGUCAACAUAUUUAAAUUGCAAAAUAACACAUAACUAGUUUGGACAUUGGUAUCUUUUCUGAAGGGAAAGUGCAUCUAGUUGGAUGCGUUAAACAGGUUGUCAAACCCGUUCCCAUUUGCAACGAGGAGAGACAAACUGCUUUGAAAAAUGAGUAUGCAAUUGCCAAAAAGCUUCAGUGGCUGCUAUUAAAAUUCUUCAACUAUCGACGGUGGACAUAAUUGUGGAAGACUUUUAAACUAGGUACAUUCUGAUAGGUACCUAUUUCCUCUAAUUUGUGUUCUUAUUUUACCCAUGUUUCCCCCCCACCACCCAUUAGAAAGUAAUUAGUUACUUUAUUUAAACAAAAAAAACUAUCAUGCACGCCGUGGAGUUAUGUUUGUGAAUAAAAUUAUUUUGUCAAUGACCAAUAUUUAAAAAAACUUUAUUUUUAAAUUUUAUAAUAAAUAAGAAAAGUAGGUGCCUAUUUAAAAUCAUUAUGGACUAUACCAUCAUACAUUCAUAUUUGUCGUAUCGAUAUUUUAUAUGUAUUUUAAAAUUUAGAAAUAUAUGACUAAUGUACCUAGUAAUGUGGUGUUGUAAAUUAUUGUUAUACCUGCAGCAGUUAUUUGUACAUACUAUGUGAGAAAAAAAUAAAUCAUGAUAUACUAUAAAAUUUAACUGUAGCCAUAUAAAACAAUUAAAAAUUUUGUUUUUCAUGUCUAUGGACUUAAAACUAAUUAACUUCAACCUUUUAACUCAAUUUUUUCUGUGUUUAUCAACUCGAUAAAUUUUAAUAUGAUUGGAGGGCGGAUUCGUAUGAUUUUACAUAUUUAUAUUGUGGUUGAUGGUAUGUUAUUAUGCUAAUAGUGGCCCCAGAAUUCGUUUCAAGACAAUUACGAUUUGAACUGUGAAUCUUUUCUGGUGCAUAAUACGAAAACUAACCAACUUUUUUCAUUUUAUCGACUUACUUAAGAUAUUUUUUUUUUAUCGACAUAAAUUAUGAAAAAACUAAAAUAGUCAAAAAUGUCAUGUGCAUGUGAACACCUCGACACGGAUCUAAAAAUGUGGUAAAUGUUAUGGUUUUUAAAUUCUAAUAUAAACAAUCAGUGUAAAUUGCAUGUAUCUACAGUAAUUUAUUUCAGAGUAACACCACUACACGAAAAACCAAAACCUAUGCACGUUUUCCUAAAUUUCUUUUCUUGUUUUUCCAGGCCCAUUUGGAGACUAGGUAGGUGCUGUUCAUUUCGACAUCCCCUAUGCACCUCGUAUAUUCACUUUCCCACCGGAAAAUAUGAAAAGCGAAGCAUUAUUUCGACUACAUACUUAUCGUGUACACCGCCCCAAAUAAUAAUGUAUUACGCAGAACGUACAUUUGCUAAUAGUUUCAAUAUAGUUGGAUUCACUCUGAUUUUUAAACUGACGACGCUAAAUGUGAUGUGCUCAUCGUAAACAUUCUAUAUUAGACGGAGACGAUAAAAUGCCCGUGUUACGUCUUAAAUCGUGGAGCUGCAUCGUUCACGAAAUUUCAAAAAUUUAAUGCCCGCGAUUCUGUCUUAUCACUAUGUACGACGAAAUAGUAGGUAAUAAUCGUUAUCAAAUAAAUAAUAAUGUUAUUAUUUUUUCGUUUGCCGACUUUAAAUUUGAAUCACUCGCGAAUCGCAAUUAUUUGAAAUUUGAGCAAAAAAUACGGACUACAGAACAGUCGUACAGAGUUCUAUUCAUACAUUUUAAUACAAAAUCACCAUGGAUAAGUGUAUUGUUUUUAGUAAAACAUGCAAAGUAUCGCCUCGCCAUAUUACGUACAUUUUCAUUUAUUUCCAAAAAAUCAAUGAAAUAGAAAGAAAUAAUGGCUAAAAAUCUUCGAAUAAUUAAAUGAUUAUCCCCAUUUCUAUCAGUCAUAGUAUCUGUGGUAAUCAUUUCACAACUACUAGUGAUUGUAAACAAUGUUCUCAAAACAUAAUCCAAACCACUUGUCUGGGAGAGAGAAGUAAAAUAAAUUUUAUUAAUUUACGGCAACAUUGGUGUAGUACCUACUCUGCGCACGACUAGUAAAUCGCAUCUAAGAGAACAUUUUCUUUCUCCAACGAUGGGUUAGAAGUAAAUGAACAGACGAAUAAAGGAUUUGGAUAGGCCAUGAUUUUAAUUCACCCAUAAAAGCCUUAGAUACCCGGUAAUGUCCAAUUCACACACACUUAUUUCAUACAGUGGAUUAUACUUACUAUGGUUUUCAAAACUCAAAUUUAUGAUGUAAUCACAUACACGCAACUGGGAAGUGGAGCCAAUGUAUUGACAAAUUUUCAGACGUUGACUUCCUUGGAGAUAAUUCUACCCCACUCAGAUGAAGCCAUACAAUAUUGGAGAGAUAUUAUGAAACCUAAAGGUAUUACAAUUUUGCUGACCAAGAAUCCAAUUUUAAUAACGCGUCAACAUAUUUAAAUUGCAAAAUAACACAUAACUAGUUUGGACAUUGGUAUCUUUUCUGAAGGGAAAGUGCAUCUAGUUGGAUGCGUUAAACAGGUUGUCAAACCCGUUCCCAUUUGCAACGAGGAGAGACAAACUGCUUUGAAAAAUGAGUAUGCAAUUGCCAAAAAGCUUCAGUGGCUGCUAUUAAAAUUCUUCAACUAUCGACGGUGGACAUAAUUGUGGAAGACUUUUAAACUAGGUACAUUCUGAUAGGUACCUAUUUCCUUUAAUUUGUGUUCUUAUUUUACCCAUGUUUCCCCCCCACCACCCAUUAGAAAGUAAUUAGUUACUUUAUUUAAACAAAAAAAACUAUCAUACACGCCGUGGAGUUAUGUUUGUGAAUAAAAUUAUUUUGUCAAUGACCAAUAUUUAAUAAAACUUUAUUUUUAAAUUUUAUAAUAAAUAAGAAAAGUAGGUGCCUAUUUAAAAUCAUUAUGGACUAUACCAUCAUACAUUCAUAUUUGUCGUAUCGAUAUUUUAUAUGUAUUUUAAAAUUUAGAAAUAUAUGACUAAUGUAGGUACCUAGUAAUGUGGUGUUGUAAAUUAUUGUUAUACCUGCAGCAGUUAUUUGUACAUACUAUGUGAGAAAAAAAUAAAUCAUGAUAUACUAUAAAAUUUAACUGUAGCCAUAUAAAACAAUUAAAAAUUUUGUUUUUCAUGUCUAUGGACUUAAAACUAAUUAACUUCAACCUUUUAACUCAAUUUUUUCUGUGUUUAUCAACUCGAUAAAUUUUAAUAUGAUUGGAGGGCGGAUUCGUAUGAUUUUACAUAUUUAUAUUGUGGUUGAUGGUAUGAUAUUAUGCUAAUAGUGGCCGCAGAAUUCGUUUCAAGACAAUUACGAUUUGAACUGUGAAUCUUUUCGGGUGCAUAAUACGAAAAUUAACCAACUUUUUUUCAUUUUAUCAAACUUAUUUAAGAUAUUUUUUUUUAUCGACAUAAAUUAUGAAAAAACUAAAAUAGUCAAAAAUUUCAUGUGCAUGUGAACACCUCGACACGGAUCUAAAAAUGUCGUAAAUGUUAUGGUUUUUAAAUUCUAAUAUAAACAAUCAGUGAAAAUUGCAUGUAUCUACAGUAAUUUAUUUUAGAGUAACACCACUGCACGAAAAACCAAAACCUAUUUUACGUUAAAAUGCACGUUUUCCUAAAUUUCUUUUCUUGUUUUUCCAUGCCCAUUUGGAUACUAGGUAGGUGCUGUUCAUUUCGACAUCCCCUAUGCACCUCGUAUAUUCACUUUCCCACCGGAAAAUAUGAAAAGCGAAGCAUUAUUUCGACUACCUACUUACCGUGUACACCGCCCCAAAUAAUAAUGUAUUACGCAGAACGUACAUUUGCUAAUAGUUUCAAUAUAGUUGGAUUCACUCUGAUUUUUAAACUGACGACGCUAAAUGUGAUGUGCUCAUCGUAAAUAUUCUAUAUUAGACGGAGACGAUAAAAUGCCCGUGUUACGUCUUAAAUCGUGGAGCUGCAUCGUUCACGAAAUUUCAAAAAUUUAAUGCCCGCGAUUCUGUCUUAUCACUAUGUACGACGAAAUAGUAGGUAAUAAUCGUUAUCAAAUAAAUAAUAAUGUUAUUAUUUUUUCGUUUGCCGACUUUAAAUUUGAAUCACUCGCGAAUCGCAAUUAUUUGAAAUUUGAGCAAAAAAUACGGACUACAGAACAGUCGUACAGAGUUCUAUUCAUACAUUUUAAUACAAAAUCACCAUGGAUAAGUGUAUUGUUUUUAGUAAAACAUGCAAAGUAUCGCCUCGCCAUAUUACGUACAUUUUCAUUUAUUUCCAAAAAAUCAAUGAAAUAGAAGGAAAUAAUGGCUAAAAAUCUUCGAAUAAUUAAAUGAUUAUCCCCAUUUCUAUCAGUCAUAGUAUCUGUGGUGAUCGUUUCACAACUACUAGUGAUUGUAAACAAUGUUCUCAAAACAUAAUCCAAACCACUUGUCUGGGAGAGAGAAGUAAAAUAAAUUUUAUUAAUUUACGGCAACAUUGGUGUAGUACCUACUCUGCGCACGACUAGUAAAUCGCAUCUAAGAGAAAAUUUUCUUUCUCCAACGAUGGGUUAGAAGUAAAUGAACAGACGAUUAAAGGAUUUGGAGGCCAUGAUUUUAAUUCACCCAUAAAAGCCUUAGAUACCCGAUAAUGUCCAAUUCACACACACUUAUUUCAUACAGUGGAUUAUACUUACUAUGGUAUUCAAAACUCAAAUUUAUGAUGUAAUCACAUACACGCAACUGGGAAGUGGAGCCAAUGUAUUGACAAAUUUUCAGACGUUGACUUUCUUGGAGAUAAUUCUACCCACUCAGAUGAAGCCAUACAAUAUUGGAGAGAAAUUAUGAAACUUAAAGGUAUUACAAUUUUGCUGACCAAGAAUCCAAUUUUAAUAACGCGUCAACAUAUUUCAAUUGCAAAAUAACACAUAACUAGUUUGGACAUUGGUAUCUUUUCUGAAGGGAAAGUGCAUCUAGUUGGAUGCGUUAAACAGGUUGUCAAACCCGUUCCCAUUUGCAACGAGGAGAGACAAACUGCUUUGAAAAAUGAGUAUGCAAUUGCCAAAAAGCUUCAGUGGCUGCUAUUAAAAUUCUUCAACUAUCGACGGUGGACAUAAUUGUGGAAGACUUUUAAACUAGGUCUUAUUCUAAACAAUUGGAACAAAAGCCACCUCCUGCUGUUUUCGCACAUAUCAUUUGUGAAAUCGUAAUUGUUGUACAACAUUUUUUGACAAACGUUUCGCCUGUCAGAGUGGUUGGCGUGAACAUGAGCUGUGAAAAGAUAUAUAUUGAAGAUGUUGCUGACUGGCUGUUAAAAGUAUUGAGGUGUCCUACUGUAUAUUGGUGGUCAAAUAAUAAAGAAUUUUAGAAUGGAGAAUAUCUUGCUUAAAAAAAAUGGGGACAAUUGUCCUCACAAAUUACAUUUUUAGAUUCGACUUAUUGUAGAUAAAUUUGAAUCUUCAUUAUCUUAUCAUGAAUCCUUACAACGGCUCAGUCAGCUAGUUCAAUAAUGGAGUAUUAUUGAAAAUAAUUUAAAUAAUAUGUGAAUGCCUCAUAUACCUAAUAUAUGUUUUUUUAUUCACUUAU